RNAcentral lists this ribosomal RNA (212 nucleotides) under uncultured Austwickia sp. RNAcentral's name for it is "partial 16S ribosomal RNA". It matches the Rfam family "Bacterial small subunit ribosomal RNA", at positions 1130 to 1341 of the family's 1533-position model. Lineage: Bacteria; Bacillati; Actinomycetota; Actinomycetes; Micrococcales; Dermatophilaceae. The record is from RNAcentral.
GGUGGGGACUCAUGGGAGACUGCCGGGGUCAACUCGGAGGAAGGUGGGGAUGACGUCAAAUCAUCAUGCCCCUUAUGUCUUGGGCUUCACGCAUGCUACAAUGGCCGGUACAAAGGGCUGCGAUACCGUGAGGUGGAGCCAAUCCCAAAAAACCGGUCUCAGUUCGGAUUGGGGUCUGCAACUCGACCCCAUGAAGUCGGAGUCGCUAGUAA